Molecule: ribosomal RNA, 382 nt
Filed under: uncultured bacterium
Lineage: Bacteria
Description: bacterial SSU rRNA
Rfam family: Bacterial small subunit ribosomal RNA
Source: RNAcentral
AAUGAACGCUGGCGGCGCGCCUAAUACAUGCAAGUCGAGCGAGAAGACGUAGCAAUACGUUUGUAAAGCGGCGAACGGGUGAGGAAUACAUGGGUAACCUACCCUCGAGUGGGGAAUAACUAGCCGAAAGGUUAGCUAAUACCGCGUACGCUCCUUGGACUUCGGUUCAGGGAGGAAAGCGAUACCGUGGGUAUCGCGCUCUUGGUUGGGCUCAUGUCCUAUCAGCUUGUUGGGAGGUAACGGCUCACCAAGGCUUCGACGGGUAGCUGGUCUGAGAGGAUGAUCAGCCACACUGGGACUGAGACACGGCCCAGACUCCUACGGGAGGCAGCAGUGGGGAAUCUUGGACAAUGGGCGCAAGCCUGAUCCAGCCAUGCCGCGU